This is a long non-coding RNA of Actinia tenebrosa (Australian red waratah sea anemone), 418 nucleotides long. The record is from RefSeq and is a predicted model, not a curated record. NCBI's taxonomy places the organism in Eukaryota, Metazoa, Cnidaria, Anthozoa, Actiniaria, Actiniidae.
CUCGCUCAUCACUGAAGUUUUAUAAUAACAACACAGUGAAUCAACACACUUGCUUUUUAUGCUCCUUUAUUCAUAAAAGUGAGCGUUUCAGUUUCCUAGCGACCGGAUAAAGUCAAGCAGUGAUGUUUUCACGCAAAAACCGAAUGAGACGCGUGUGCGCAUAGCUUUGGGUGCCAAAACUUUGAAAAUGUUUCAUCUUCGUUAAGUCUUCUUUUUUACAAAAAAACCACCUUGGUAACAAACUGUUUGUUUUAACUUCAUGGCGUCUCAAAAGACAAUUCAGAUGGUGACAAGAAAUCUACACAUACUACAUGUCUUAAAGAGCUGUCAAAAUCAAAAUUACUUUAGCUGCAGAAAACAAGUAUGGAUGCCCAGUUUGCCAAUAUUCAGUUGAAUGCUGUCUGAAAAGGUCAGAGAA